RNAcentral lists this ribosomal RNA (301 nucleotides) under uncultured bacterium. Its description in RNAcentral is "partial 16S ribosomal RNA". It matches the Rfam family "Bacterial small subunit ribosomal RNA", at positions 509 to 807 of the family's 1533-position model. The record is from RNAcentral.
CAGCCGCCGCGGUAAUACGAAGGGGGCUAGCGUUGCUCGGAAUGACUGGGCGUAAAGGGCGCGUAGGCGGCGGCCAAAGUCAGACGUGAAAUUCCUGGGCUCAACCUGGGGGCUGCGUUUGAUACUUGGUUGCUUGAGUGGGGAAGAGGGUCGUGGAAUUCCCAGUGUAGAGGCGAAAUUCGUAGAUAUUCGGAAGAACACCAGUGGCGAAGGCGGCUCACUGGCUCAUACUGGACGCUGAGGUGCGAAAGCGUGGGGAGCAAACAGGAUUAGAUACCCCUGUAGUCCCUGUCUCUUAUAC